GGGGAAUAUUGGACAAUGGGCGAAAGCCUGAUCCAGCCAUGCCGCGUGUGUGAAGAAGGCCUUUUGGUUGUAAAGCACUUUAAGUGGGGAGGAAAAGCUUGUGGUUAAUACCCAUAAGCCCUGACGUUACCCACAGAAUAAGCACCGGCUAACUCUGUGCCAGCAGCCGCGGUAAUACAGAGGGUGCAAGCGUUAAUCGGAAUUACUGGGCGUAAAGCGCGCGUAGGUGGUUAUUUAAGUCAGAUGUGAAAGCCCCGGGCUUAACCUGGGAACUGCAUCUGAUACUGGAUAACUAGAGUAGGUGAGAGGGGAGUAGAAUUCCAGGUGUAGCGGUGAAAUGCGUAGAGAUCUGGAGGAAUACCGAUGGCGAAGGCAGCUCCCUGGCAUCAUACUGACACUGAGGUGCGAAAGCGUGGGUAGCAAACAGGAUUAGAUACCCUGGUAGUCCACGCCGUAAACGAUGUCUACCAGUCGUUGGGUCUUUUAAAGACUUAAUGACGCAGUUAACGCAAUAAGUAGACCGCCUGGGGAGUACGGCCGCAAGGUUA
RNAcentral lists this ribosomal RNA (548 nucleotides) under uncultured bacterium. RNAcentral's name for it is "bacterial SSU rRNA". It matches the Rfam family "Bacterial small subunit ribosomal RNA", at positions 356 to 896 of the family's 1533-position model. The record is from RNAcentral.